This 253-nucleotide ribosomal RNA is filed under the name uncultured bacterium. RNAcentral's name for it is "partial 16S ribosomal RNA". It matches the Rfam family "Bacterial small subunit ribosomal RNA", at positions 524 to 776 of the family's 1533-position model. The record is from RNAcentral.
UACGUAGGGUGCGAGCGUUGUCCGGAAUUAUUGGGCGUAAAGGGCUCGUAGGCGGUUUGUCGCGUCGGGAGUGAAAACACUGGGCUUAACCAAGUGCUUGCUUUCGAUACGGGCAGACUUGAGGCAUUCAGGGGAGAACGGAAUUCCUGGUGUAGCGGUGAAAUGCGCAGAUAUCAGGAGGAACACCGGUGGCGAAGGCGGAUCUCUGGGCAUUACCUGACGCUGAGGAGCGAAAGCAUGGGGAGCGAACAGG